ACAUUAUACUACACAGCAAUCCUCUCUUACAUACAACCUUCAGAAACCAUUACUAUGCUUCCUUGGUAUUAAUAUUGUUCGGAAAAUUAUGGCAUCCUCAGGGACUUUACUUCUUCUUGGCCUUGUCUUUGCUGUUCUCCUUCUCUCCUCUGAAAUCUCAGCUCGUGAGCUAGCUGAGACUACUCCUCAAACCCAGGACAGCGUAGAAAAGGCUGGCAACCAAGUUCAGGGCCAUGAGCAUGGACAUGACCACGGUCAUGGAGGGCAUGGACAUGACCAUGGUCACGGAGGUCAUGGCCACAGGCCAUGAUGGAAAACUGGGAAUUUGUGCUGCAGAGACUCAAACAAAAAAUUAGCUAACCUCUUAGCGUCUAUGUGUGUUGUAAGAGUCGUAUAAUAUGCAAUAAAGCUGUAUUGGUUGAGUAGUUUAUAAACUCUCAAUCAUAUAUAGCCAGGCUUUAAGCUUUAUCUUGUAUUCUCUUAAUCGAUCACCUUAGUAUGUGUUCUCUUAAUCGAUCAUCUUAGUAUGUGUUACGAUACGCUUUAAUUUUCUCAAUAAAUAUUUGCAAAGUUAAAAAUGUCUAGCAUUUCAAGUCUACUAUUAAGGAGUUUUCUUUGGAUACUCAU
Malus domestica (apple) is the source of this 627-nucleotide non-coding RNA. Lineage: Eukaryota; Viridiplantae; Streptophyta; Magnoliopsida; Rosales; Rosaceae. The record is from RefSeq and is a predicted model, not a curated record.